This 253-nucleotide ribosomal RNA is filed under the name uncultured bacterium. RNAcentral describes it as "partial 16S ribosomal RNA". It matches the Rfam family "Bacterial small subunit ribosomal RNA", at positions 524 to 776 of the family's 1533-position model. The record is from RNAcentral.
UACGAGGGGAGCUAGCGUUGUUCGGAAUUACUGGGCGUAAAGCGCGCGUAGGCGGUUUUUUAAGUCAGAGGUGAAAGCCCGGGGCUCAACCCCGGAAUUGCCUUUGAAACUGGAAAACUAGAAUCUUGGAGAGGUCAGUGGAAUUCCGAGUGUAGAGGUGAAAUUCGUAGAUAUUCGGAAGAACACCAGUGGCGAAGGCGACUGACUGGACAAGUAUUGACGCUGAGGUGCGAAAGCGUGGGGAGCAAACAGG